RNAcentral lists this ribosomal RNA (301 nucleotides) under uncultured bacterium. RNAcentral describes it as "partial 16S ribosomal RNA". It matches the Rfam family "Bacterial small subunit ribosomal RNA", at positions 509 to 807 of the family's 1533-position model. The record is from RNAcentral.
CAGCAGCCGCGGUAAUACGUAGGUGGCAAGCGUUGUCCGGAAUUAUUGGGCGUAAAGGGCUCGCAGGCGGUUUCUUAAGUCCGAUGUGAAAGCCCCCGGCUCAACCGGGGAAGGUCAUUGGAAACUGGGAAACUUGAGUGCAGAAGAGGAGAGUGGAAUUCCACGUGUAGCGGUGAAAUGCGUAGAGAUGUGGAGGAACACCAGUGGCGAAGGCGACUCUCUGGUCUGUAACUGACGCUGAGGAGCGAAAGCGUGGGGAGCGAACAGGAUUAGAUACCCGCGUAGUCCCUGUCUCUUAUAC